Molecule: ribosomal RNA, 464 nt
Filed under: uncultured bacterium
Lineage: Bacteria
Description: partial 16S ribosomal RNA
Rfam family: Bacterial small subunit ribosomal RNA
Source: RNAcentral
GACGAACGCUGGCGGCGUGCUUAACACAUGCAAGUCGAACGGUAAGGCCCCAGCUUUCUGGGGUACACGAGUGGCGAACGGGUGAGUAACACGUGGGUGACCUGCCCCUCACUUCGGGAUAAGCCUUGGAAACUGGGUCUAAUACCGGAUACGACCGCACCAUGCGGGUGUGGUGGAAAUUUUUGCGGUUUGGGAUGGGCCCGCGGCCUAUCAGCUUGUUGGUGGGGUAAUGGCCUACCAAGGCGGCUACGGGUAGCCGGCCUGCGAGGGUGGACGGCCACAUUGGGACUGAGACACGGCCCAGACUCCUACGGGAGGCAGCAGUGGGGAAUAUUGCACAAUGGGCGGAAGCGUGAUGCAGCGACGCCGCGUGGGGGAUGACGGCCUUCGGGUUGUAAACUCCUUUCACCAUCGACGAAGGUUUUCUGACGGUAGAUGGAGAAGAAGCACCGGCUAACUACGUG